CCUAUGGAGAAUACAUCUUGAACAUACCCGAUCUCAUCUGAUCUCAGAAGCUAAGCUCGGUCAGGCAUGAUUAGUACUUGGAUGGAAGAUUGUAAGAAAGUUGGCAUUUGUUUAAAGUU
RNAcentral lists this ribosomal RNA (119 nucleotides) under Jaculus jaculus (lesser Egyptian jerboa). Lineage: Eukaryota; Metazoa; Chordata; Mammalia; Rodentia; Dipodidae. The record is from RNAcentral.